GGAUGGGUGGCCGAGCGGUUUAAGGCACCGGUCUUGAAAACCGGCGUGCGUGAGAACGUACCGUGGGUUCGAAUCCCACCCCAUCCGCCA
RNAcentral lists this transfer RNA (90 nucleotides) under Phyllobacteriaceae bacterium. RNAcentral's name for it is "tRNA-Ser". It matches the Rfam family "tRNA". From Rfam's summary of the family: Transfer RNA (tRNA) molecules are approximately 80 nucleotides in length. Their secondary structure includes four short double-helical elements and three loops (D, anti-codon, and T loops). Lineage: Bacteria; Pseudomonadati; Pseudomonadota; Alphaproteobacteria; Hyphomicrobiales; Phyllobacteriaceae. The record is from RNAcentral.